Belonocnema kinseyi is the source of this 471-nucleotide long non-coding RNA. RefSeq lists it as uncharacterized. The transcript has 3 exons. Lineage: Eukaryota; Metazoa; Arthropoda; Insecta; Hymenoptera; Cynipidae. The record is from RefSeq and is a predicted model, not a curated record.
CUGGUCGAGCGUAACAUUGCCCUCUGCUUGUCAGUUCGAAAGUUGACACGAGUUGUUGUUUUUCGUCACAACAGUGUUUGAAAAUUGAUGUGCUGCGAGUGUUUAAUUGAAAGACGGCAAAAAGCGAUUGAAGGAAUUUAUGUGACAGUACCUUUCAACGACGAUAUCCCGCUAAUGUAGGAAAUCUAACAUGGCGUCGCUCGCCCAAAUUGGAACAUUUUAUUUCGCCCAAACUGGGUGAGAGGACAAAUUCAUUGAAGCAAAUGGGUUCAUCGAAUAGCAUGAAAUAUUCUUUAUUAUUCAGUAACAAUGGUUAGUUUAUAUCCAUGAGCAGACAAAAUAUUGAUGAAAAAAUGUGCAAACUGUGCGGUAUUAGGAACUUUUCUCAAUUCAUAAGAUUUAAAAUAUUUUCACAAGCAAAAUACGCCGAAGAAAUCCUUAUGUUUGCCCAAAUCGGGAUAUUGACCUUAU